GAUAACCUACGAUGUUGGUGACUCUACUGUGUCUAAAACCGAUGCUAUUUAUAAGGGAGUUCUACAUUUUGACCAGGACGUCAAGCCUUGUCCAUGACGACAUGAGGAAGAUGAAACGGUUAAUGCGAACACCCACCUGCGAGAGCGGGUUUUUUAGACAUACUGAGCACGGCAUAUGUGGGGGAUAA
The sequence is a non-coding RNA, 188 nucleotides long. It matches the Rfam family "6S / SsrS RNA". Rfam says of the family: E. coli 6S RNA was the first non coding RNA to be sequenced, but its function was unknown until recently. It consists of 184 nucleotides that fold into an extended hairpin structure with a large single-stranded internal bulge. The 6S RNA specifically associates with RNA polymerase holoenzyme containing the sigma70 specificity factor. The record is from Rfam.